Molecule: ribosomal RNA, 376 nt
Filed under: uncultured eukaryote
Lineage: Eukaryota
Description: partial 18S ribosomal RNA
Rfam family: Eukaryotic small subunit ribosomal RNA
Source: RNAcentral
CAAGAGCGUAUAUUAAAGUUGCUGCGGUUAAAAAGCUCGUAGUUGGAUUUCAGUCUAGGAAGGUUAACUCGCCGAAAGGUUGUACGUUGAUUUUCCUCAGACUUCGUCGGAAGCUCGUGCUGCACUUAACUGUGUGGUACGAUGUUCUGACCUUUUACCUUGAGGAAAGUAGAGUGUUUCAGGCAGGCUACCCAGCUUGAAUACAUUAGCAUGGAAUAAUGAAAUGGAUCUCGGUUCGAUUUCGUUGGUUCUAGAGCUGAGGUGAUGAUCAAUAGGAACAGGCGAAGGUAUUCGUACUUGAGAGUGAGGAGUGAAAUCCGAUGAUCUCUUAAAGACGAUCCGAGGCGAAAGCAUUUGUCAAGGAUGUUUUCAUUGA